UACGAAGGGGGCUAGCGUUGCUCGGAAUCACUGGGCGUAAAGCGCACGUAGGCGGAUUUUUAAGUCAGGGGUGAAAUCCCAAGGCUCAACCUUGGAACUGCCUUUGAUACUGGGGAUCUGGAGUCCGGAAGAGGUUGGUGGAACUGCGAGUGUAGAGGUGAAAUUCGUAGAUAUUCGCAAGAACACCAGUGGCGAAAGGCGGCCAACUGGUCCGGUACUGACGCUGAGGUGCGAAAGCGUGGGGAGCAAACAGG
Molecule: ribosomal RNA, 254 nt
Filed under: uncultured bacterium
Lineage: Bacteria
Description: partial 16S ribosomal RNA
Rfam family: Bacterial small subunit ribosomal RNA
Source: RNAcentral